RNAcentral lists this ribosomal RNA (449 nucleotides) under uncultured bacterium. RNAcentral's name for it is "bacterial SSU rRNA". It matches the Rfam family "Bacterial small subunit ribosomal RNA", at positions 335 to 796 of the family's 1533-position model. The record is from RNAcentral.
ACUCCUACGGGAGGCAGCAGUGGAGAAUCUUGCACAAUGGGCGAAAGCCUGAUGCAGCCAUGCCGCGUGCGGGAAGAAGGCCUUCGGGUCGUAAACCGCUUUCAGCAGGGACGAAGCGAGAGUGACGGUACCUGCAGAAGAAGGACCGGCCAACUACGUGCCAGCAGCCGCGGUAAUACGUAGGGUCCGAGCGUUGUCCGGAAUUAUUGGGCGUAAAGCGCAUGUAGGCGGCCCGGUAAGUCGGAUGUGAAAUCCCAGGGCUCAACCCUGGAACUGCAUCCGAUACUGCUGGGCUUGAGGAAGGUAGAGGAGAGUGGAAUUCCCGGUGUAGCGGUGGAAUGCGCAGAUAUCGGGAGGAACACCAGCGGCGAAGGCGGCUCUCUGGGCCUCUCCUGACGCUGAGAUGCGAAAGCGUGGGUAGCGAACAGGAUUAGAAACCCCGGUAGUCC